GAGCAGGUUCAUCGGGUACUGGGACCCAGCAGUGUGAUCCAGAGAGCAGUGGGAGAUGCUGGCAGCAGGAGCCGUGGAGUUGCAUCUUCUGCAGGAUGAACAAGUCUCCAGGAAGCCAACAGUGUUGUCAGGAAUCUGAGGUCCUGGAGAGGCAGAUGUGUCCUGAGGAACAGUUGAAAUGUGAGUUCCUCCUCUUGAAAGUCUAUUGCUGUUCUGAGAGCUCCUUUUUUGCCAAGAUUCCAUACUAUUAUUAUGUAAGUAACAACAGCAACCCAUGAUUACAGGCUGCCAUGACAUUACCUGACCCUGAAAUGGGCCCUCGUGAGAUUUGUGAUCUUAAUCCCACGGGGCAAGAGCACACGCUGUCGUUAGUUGCCUUCACCUUGUUGUAUUUCUGCUGGAUUUUAUGGGAAUCCACAGAAGGUAGACAUUGAACUAUGCUGGUAGCUUUUCCAUUGAUAUUUUUGUCACCAGAUUAGAGAGGCGUGUCAAGGCCUGAAGGAGCCCAUGUGGUUGGAUAAAAUCAAGAAAAGGCUGAAUGAGCAC
RNAcentral lists this small RNA (546 nucleotides) under Pongo abelii (Sumatran orangutan). RNAcentral's name for it is "retained intron". Lineage: Eukaryota; Metazoa; Chordata; Mammalia; Primates; Hominidae. The record is from RNAcentral.